UAACGCGUGGGGAACCUGCCCCGUACCGGGGGAUAACACCUGGAAACAGGUGCUAAUACCGCAUAACAGAAGGGGACGCAUGUUCCUUUCUUGAAAACUCCGGUGGUACGGGAUGGACCCGCGUCUGAUUAGCUGGUUGGCGGGGUAACGGCCCACCAAGGCGACGAUCAGUAGCCGGCCUGAGAGGGCGGACGGCCACAUUGGGACUGAGACACGGCCCAAACUCCUACGGGAGGCAGCAGUGGGGAAUAUUGCACAAUGGGGGAAACCCUGAUGCAGCGACGCCGCGUGAGUGGAGAAGCGUUUCGGCGCGUAAAGCUCUGUCAGCGGGGAAGAAACACGGUUCGCGAGAGCCGCGGACGGUACCCGACCAAGAAGCCCCGGCUAACUACGUGCCAGCAGCCGCGGUAAUACGUAGGGGGCAAGCGUUAUCCGGAUUCACUGGGUGUAAAGGGAGCGUAGACGGCGAGACAAGUCUGGAGUGAAAGGCCGGGGCCCAACCCCGGGACUGCUCUGGAAACUGCCUGGCUGGAGUACAGGAGAGGUAAGUGGAAUUCCUAGUGUAGCGGUGAAAUGCGUAGAUAUUAGGAGGAACACCAGUGGCGAAGGCGGCUUACUGGACUGUAACUGACGUUGAGGCUCGAAAGCGUGGGGAGCAAACAGGAUUAGAUACCCUGGUAGUCCACGC
This 688-nucleotide ribosomal RNA is filed under the name uncultured bacterium. RNAcentral's name for it is "bacterial SSU rRNA". It matches the Rfam family "Bacterial small subunit ribosomal RNA", at positions 111 to 800 of the family's 1533-position model. The record is from RNAcentral.